RNAcentral lists this unclassified non-coding RNA (256 nucleotides) under uncultured Ascomycota. RNAcentral describes it as "sequence contains ITS2". The stretch from base 1 to 52 matches the Rfam family "5.8S ribosomal RNA", at positions 103 to 154 of the family's 154-position model. The record is from RNAcentral. Lineage: Eukaryota; Fungi; Ascomycota.
AACGCACAUUGCGCCCUUUGGUAUUCCGAAGGGCAUGCCUGUUCGAGCGUCAUUAUCACCCCUCAAGCUUGGGCUUGUCGUUGAACCCCCAGGUCCGUUAGACGACCGGUUCGAAAGAUAGUGACGGUUGCCUAUAUGACCCUCGGUGCAAUGAGCUCUCACCAGCACGCGCCGUCCGCGGUCUGAUAGCCCGGUCUCUCCUUUUAUUUUUUACAAGGUUGACCUCGGAUCAGGUAGGAAUACCCGCUGAACUUAA